Molecule: ribosomal RNA, 253 nt
Filed under: uncultured bacterium
Lineage: Bacteria
Description: partial 16S ribosomal RNA
Rfam family: Bacterial small subunit ribosomal RNA
Source: RNAcentral
UACGUAGAGGGCAAGCGUUGUCCGGAAUCAUUGGGCGUAAAGAGCGUGUAGGCGGCCCGGUAAGUCCGCUGUGAAAGUCCAGGGCUCAACCCUGGGAUGCCGGUGGAUACUGUCGGGCUCGAGUCCGGAAGAGGAGUGUGGAAUUCCUGGUGUAGCGGUGAAAUGCGCAGAUAUCAGGAGGAACACCAAUGGCGAAGGCAGCACUCUGGGACGUGACUGACGCUGAGACGCGAAAGCGUGGGGAGCAAACAGG